CCUACGGGAGGCAGCAGUGAGGAAUAUUGGUCAAUGGACGAGAGUCUGAACCAGCCAAGUAGCGUGAAGGAUGACUGCCCUAUGGGUUGUAAACUUCUUUUAUAUGGGAAUAAAACGUUCCACGUGUGGGAUUUUGUAUGUACCAUAUGAAUAAGGAUCGGCUAACUCCGUGCCAGCAGCCGCGGUAAUACGGAGGAUCCGAGCGUUAUCCGGAUUUAUUGGGUUUAAAGGGAGCGUAGGUGGAUUGUUAAGUCAGUUGUGAAAGUUUGCGGCUCAACCGUAAAAUUGCAGUUGAAACUGGCAGUCUUGAGUACAGUAGAGGUGGGCGGAAUUCGUGGUGUAGCGGUGAAAUGCUUAGAUAUCACGAAGAACUCCGAUUGCGAAGGCAGUUCACUGGACUGCAACUGACACUGAGGCUCGAAAGCGUGGGUAUCAAACAGGAUUAGAUACCCGUGUAGUC
This 460-nucleotide ribosomal RNA is filed under the name uncultured bacterium. RNAcentral's name for it is "partial 16S ribosomal RNA". It matches the Rfam family "Bacterial small subunit ribosomal RNA", at positions 338 to 795 of the family's 1533-position model. The record is from RNAcentral.